Molecule: ribosomal RNA, 468 nt
Filed under: uncultured bacterium
Lineage: Bacteria
Description: partial 16S ribosomal RNA
Rfam family: Bacterial small subunit ribosomal RNA
Source: RNAcentral
GACGAACGCUGGCGGCGUGCUUAACACAUGCAAGUCGAACGGAAAGGCCCUGCUUUUGUGGGGUGCUCGAGUGGCGAACGGGUGAGUAACACGUGAGAAACCUGCUCUUGACUUUGGGAUAACUUCAGGAAACUGGGGCUAAUUCCGGACAGGAGCUCCUGCUGUAUGGUGGGGGUUGGAAAGUUUCGGCGGUUGGGGAUGGACUCGCGGCUUAUCAGCUUGUUGGUGGGGUAGUGGCUUACCAAGGCUUUGACGGGUGGCCGGCCUGAGAGGGUGACCGGCCACAUUGGGACUGAGAUACGGCCCAGACUCCUACGGGAGGCAGCAGUGGGGAAUAUUGCACAAUGGGCGGAAGCCUGAUGCAGCAACGCCGCGUGCGGGAUGACGGCCUUCGGGUUGUAAACCGCUUUGGCCUGUGACGAAGCGAAAGUGACGGUAAUGGGUAAAGAAGCACCGGCUAACUACGUG